GUGCUCACUUUGGCAGCAUAUAUACUAAAAUUGGAACAAUAAUGAGAUUAGCAUGGCCCCUGUGCAAGGACGGCAUACAAAUUCAUGAAGAGGUGAAAGAAUGG
This is a small nuclear RNA of Lutra lutra (Eurasian river otter), 104 nucleotides long. The record is from RefSeq and is a predicted model, not a curated record. Lineage: Eukaryota; Metazoa; Chordata; Mammalia; Carnivora; Mustelidae.